RNAcentral lists this ribosomal RNA (467 nucleotides) under uncultured bacterium. Its description in RNAcentral is "partial 16S ribosomal RNA". It matches the Rfam family "Bacterial small subunit ribosomal RNA", at positions 28 to 507 of the family's 1533-position model. The record is from RNAcentral.
GAUGAACGCUGGCGGCGUGCUUAACACAUGCAAGUCGAACGGAAAGGCCUAAUCUUGCUUGGGUUCUCGAGUGGCGAACGGGUGUGUAACACGUGGGUGAUCUGCCCUGCACUUCGGUAUAAUCCUGGGAAACUGGGUCUAAUACCGGAUAGGCCGAUGGUUUGGAUGCCAUUUUGGAAAGUUUUUUCGGUGUGGGAUGGGCUCGCGGCCUAUCGGCUUGUUGGUGGGGUAGUGGCCUACCAAGGCUUCGACGGGUAGCCGGCCUGAGAGGGUGACGGGCAAAUUGGGAAGGGGAAAAGGGCCAAGAUCCUACGGGAGGGAGGAGUGGGGGAUAAUGGACAAAGGGGGGAAGCCUGAGGGAGGGACGGCGCGGGGGGGAAGACGGCCUUUGGGGUGGAAACUCGUUUCGGUAGAGACGAAGGGUUUGUGUGACGGUACCUGGAGAAGAAGCACCGGCUAACUACGUG